Molecule: ribosomal RNA, 539 nt
Filed under: Ilyonectria destructans
Lineage: Eukaryota; Fungi; Ascomycota; Sordariomycetes; Hypocreales; Nectriaceae
Also listed under: 1 other name
Description: eukaryotic LSU rRNA
Rfam family: 5.8S ribosomal RNA (bases 164-317)
Source: RNAcentral
CCGUUGGUGAACCAGCGGAGGGAUCAUUACCGAGUUUACAACUCCCAAACCCCUGUGAACAUACCAUUUGUUGCCUCGGCGGUGCCUGCUUCGGCAGCCCGCCAGAGGACCCAAACCCUUGAUUUUAUACAGUAUCUUCUGAGUAAAUGAUUAAAUAAAUCAAAACUUUCAACAACGGAUCUCUUGGUUCUGGCAUCGAUGAAGAACGCAGCGAAAUGCGAUAAGUAAUGUGAAUUGCAGAAUUCAGUGAAUCAUCGAAUCUUUGAACGCACAUUGCGCCCGCCAGUAUUCUGGCGGGCAUGCCUGUUCGAGCGUCAUUUCAACCCUCAAGCCCCCGGGCUUGGUGUUGGAGAUCGGCGUGCCCCCCGGGGCGCGCCGGCUCCCAAAUAUAGUGGCGGUCUCGCUGUAGCUUCCUCUGCGUAGUAGCACACCUCGCACUGGAAAACAGCGUGGCCACGCCGUUAAACCCCCCACUUCUGAAAGGUUGACCUCGGAUCAGGUAGGAAUACCCGCUGAACUUAAGCAUAUCAAUAAGCGGA